GUGAGAAUGUGGUCACCUUGACACAGCAACCAUAUGAUUAAGGGCAUGGUCUAAAAUUUCCCUUUCAUUCCACAUGGCACAUGGAGGUUGGAAUGAUUUUACAUGUUUUCAUUUUUUGUUCUAUGUUUUAUUUUAAAACUACAUAAGCAGCCAUCUUUGAACCCAGAUUCCAAAAGGUGAAUUAAUUUUGGAGCCAAAGCCAAAAGCAAGACCAACAGGAAGCCUAGGGUGUGAGAAAAGCAUUUUUAAAAACUGGUGAUUG
RNAcentral lists this long non-coding RNA (262 nucleotides) under Vulpes vulpes (red fox). RNAcentral describes it as "lncRNA (ENSVVUG00000014504.1)". The record is from RNAcentral. Lineage: Eukaryota; Metazoa; Chordata; Mammalia; Carnivora; Canidae.